RNAcentral lists this ribosomal RNA (398 nucleotides) under Metagonia mariguitarensis. RNAcentral's name for it is "partial 16S ribosomal RNA". It matches the Rfam family "Archaeal large subunit ribosomal RNA", at positions 1950 to 2666 of the family's 2987-position model. The record is from RNAcentral. Lineage: Eukaryota; Metazoa; Arthropoda; Arachnida; Araneae; Pholcidae.
CCUGCCCAAUGUAUUAUAAAUGGCCGCAGUUUCACUGUGCUAAGGUAGCAUAAUCACUAGCUUCUUAAUUAGAAGAACGUAUGAAAGGUUAAACGACUUAAAACUGUCCCAAAACAUCUAGUUAAAUUAAUUUUCUCGUAAAAAAACAAGAAUAUCACAACAAGACGACAAGACCCUAAUAAACUUAAAUCAUUUAGUUGGGGCAACAUAUUAAAAAAACUUUAAUCUAAUUAUUCACUAAACCUAAAAAGAUAAAGACUAAGUUACUAUAGGGAUAACAGCGCAAUCUUUCUUAAAAGCUCCCAUUUAAAGAAAGGAUUACGACCUCGAUGUUGAAUUAAUUUAACUAAUAAAAUGCAAAAGUUUACAAAGUUGGUCUGUUCGACCAUUAAAAAAUU